RNAcentral lists this non-coding RNA (579 nucleotides) under unclassified sequences. Its description in RNAcentral is "ROOL RNA". It matches the Rfam family "ROOL RNA". From Rfam's summary of the family: Firmicutes, Fusobacteria (1 example), Tenericutes (1 example). Environment (Cow rumen (57)) The record is from Rfam by way of RNAcentral.
CAUAUUAUAUAAUGUACUUUGUAACCAGUUGGAAACACAUUUAACAAAUGUGGCUGGACACGCUGAAUAGUGGCACACGUUUUAUAGGGAUACCUUUAAAGACGUAAUAGAUGUUCCUUUAGAAGAGUAAUCUUCUGGGUAAGAAUGUAGACAAAGAUGCAUUCAAAACAUGGCGUGGUGCAAUAGGAUAAGUGGAAGUCAAAUGACUAUGAGAAAUCGGGAUCACAAUAGACGGUCCGUGGGACAAGAAUCCAUUAUUGCAAUGUGUGGUAGCAUUGCUUCCGAUGGAAAAACCAAUAAGAUCUUAGUUCGGUUGAUGGGAGAAAUUCCUAUAAGAGAAAGCAUAGGUACGAGUAGAGAAAACCCGACAUUAUGAAUAAUUCUAUUAUAAUGGGUAUAAAAAUUAUUAUUACUUCUGAAAGUUCUCGAAAGUUGUGGGUAAAAUCCCACUUGGGUUUAGGGAAACCGACUAAAGAAGGUCAGAACUAGCUAUUCUUUCCUCAGACUUUAGCCCCCAAUGCAUGAAUGACAGCUUAUUCUACUUGUAAGGUGAAGACCUACAUUUUUAAGACACCCAAA